Molecule: long non-coding RNA, 213 nt
Filed under: Lathyrus oleraceus (garden pea)
Lineage: Eukaryota; Viridiplantae; Streptophyta; Magnoliopsida; Fabales; Fabaceae
Description: Pisum sativum (pea) long non-coding RNA (PSAT_LNC011119)
Source: RNAcentral
AUGCCUUUGAUAUGUCUUGGUGCUAUACCAUGUGUUUGGUUUUUGUGCUUGUGAUUAUUGUUGUUGUUUUAUCUUUUCUCCACUUAUAUGAUACAAAGGUUGUUUUAGCCAAAAUUUGGCAAAGGGGGAGAUUGUUAGUUUUGUGUUUUUAUGAUUGGCAACAAAUUUGUUAAAACUUGUAUCACAACAAGAUGUUGAGAAACAUGUUGUGAC